This 396-nucleotide ribosomal RNA is filed under the name uncultured bacterium. RNAcentral describes it as "bacterial SSU rRNA". It matches the Rfam family "Bacterial small subunit ribosomal RNA", at positions 29 to 426 of the family's 1533-position model. The record is from RNAcentral.
AUUGAACGCUGGCGGAAUGCUUUACACAUGCAAGUCGAGCGGCAGCGCGGGGGCAACCCUGGCGGCGAGCGGCGAACGGGUGAGUAACGCAUCGGAACGUACCUUGUAGUGGGGGAUAACUAUCCGAAAGGAUAGCUAAUACCGCAUACGCCCUGAGGGGGAAAGGGGGGAGUCGCAAGACCUCUCGCUACAGGAGCGGCCGAUGUCCGAUUAGUCUAGUUGGUGAGGUAAAGGCUCACCAAGGCGACGAUCGGUAGCUGGUCUGAGAGGAUGAUCCGCCACACUGGGACUGAGACACGGCCCAGACUCCUACGGGAGGCAGCAGUGGGGAAUUUUGGACAAUGGGCGCAAGCCUGAUCCAGCCAUGCCGCGUGAGUGAAGAAGGCCUUCGGUUGU